UCUUGACAUCCACGGAAAAAAAACAGAGAUGCCUUAGUGCCUUCGGGAACCGUGAGACAGGUGCUGCAUGGCUGUCGUCAGCUCGUGUUGUGAAAUGUUGGGUUAAGUCCCGCAACGAGCGCAACCCUUAUCCUUUGUUGCCAGCGGUCCGGCCGGGAACUCAAAGGAGACUGCCAGUGAUAAGGGGGGAGGAAGGUGGGGAUGACGUCAAGUCAUCAUGGGCCUUACGACCAGGGCUACACACGUGCUACAAGGGCUUUUUCUUUGAAGAACCCCCCUCGCGAGAGCUGCUGACCUC
RNAcentral lists this ribosomal RNA (298 nucleotides) under Enterobacter sp. TU12. RNAcentral's name for it is "partial 16S ribosomal RNA". It matches the Rfam family "Bacterial small subunit ribosomal RNA", at positions 979 to 1275 of the family's 1533-position model. The record is from RNAcentral. Lineage: Bacteria; Pseudomonadati; Pseudomonadota; Gammaproteobacteria; Enterobacterales; Enterobacteriaceae.